Anastrepha ludens (Mexican fruit fly) is the source of this 513-nucleotide long non-coding RNA. RefSeq lists it as uncharacterized. The transcript has 3 exons. The record is from RefSeq and is a predicted model, not a curated record. Lineage: Eukaryota; Metazoa; Arthropoda; Insecta; Diptera; Tephritidae.
UACGUGUGAAACGAGCGAGUAGAAAUCGGUUGCCGCCGGCGAAAAGAAUUGCCAUUUCGUUUUGUCUGAAAAGCGACUGAUUGGAUGAGUGUGUGAAUGAAAGUGAAAUGAUAGUGCAGAAUUCGGCUAGUGAAUCCCAUCUGACGUGAUAGCUGAGGAUACAGGCACAAUUUUGGGGUUUCACCAUAACACAAGGCCAAAUCUGAAAGGAGAGUAAAUUAUCCGAAAUUUUACGGUAGAGAGAAUACCACGAUGUAGAGAAUAAUAAGAUGGCGCCGUUUGUAGUACCGCUACUUUGCUCUCAGCGAAUUUGACGGAAUCAUAAUUCGCCUAACCACUAAUGCCAACCCCAUUGCAGAAGAUUCGAAAGCAUCGGUUUCACAUGAGAUGAACGAAUCUGGUUUAUAUCCGGAUCCAUCAACACUUCAAGGAGAAAUGAUGCAGACCGUGGAGCAAUUUUUUUUUCAUUGUUCUUUGGGCCACGUGAUAGGUAUACUAAUUUUUGUAAAGAAA